GUUUGUCGGUCUGUCGCUUGUUUCUUUUUGGGAGCAAGAGGAAAGUCCGGGCAACACAGGGCACCAUACUUCCUAACGGGUAGCAGGUCGUGAGGCUUGAGUAGCGUAACAGAAAAGAACCGCCGGGCUUUUGGCCCGGUAAGGGUGAAAAGGUGAGGUAAGAGCUCACCGGAUCCUUUGGCAACAAAGGGUGCCGUACGCCUUAUGGGUUGUAAGGUCAUGUAUAUCGGCGUUGUAGGGCUGCCCGCCCGAUGCCGAGGGGUAGACCGCUUGAGCUUGUUAGAAAUAACAAGAUUAGAUAAAUGGCAGGCGCUUAUGCUUAGACAUAAGUACAGAACCCGGCUUAUAGACAGACU
RNAcentral lists this RNase P RNA (356 nucleotides) under uncultured Parabacteroides sp. RNAcentral's name for it is "Bacterial RNase P class A". It matches the Rfam family "Bacterial RNase P class A". From Rfam's summary of the family: Ribonuclease P (RNase P) is a ubiquitous endoribonuclease, found in archaea, bacteria and eukarya as well as chloroplasts and mitochondria. Its best characterised activity is the generation of mature 5'-ends of tRNAs by cleaving the 5'-leader elements of precursor-tRNAs. Cellular RNase Ps are ribonucleoproteins. Lineage: Bacteria; Pseudomonadati; Bacteroidota; Bacteroidia; Bacteroidales; Tannerellaceae. The record is from RNAcentral.